This 448-nucleotide ribosomal RNA is filed under the name uncultured bacterium. RNAcentral's name for it is "bacterial SSU rRNA". It matches the Rfam family "Bacterial small subunit ribosomal RNA", at positions 470 to 916 of the family's 1533-position model. The record is from RNAcentral.
UGAAGGUACCCUGUAAGAAAGGAUCGGCUAACUUCGUGCCAGCAGCCGCGGUAAGACGAGGGAUCCUAGCGUUGUUCGGAGUCAUUGGGCGUAAAGCGGGUGUAGGUGGCUUUGUAAGUCAGGUGUGAAAGCCUAGGGCUCAACCCUAGAAGUGCAUUUGAUACUGCGAAGCUUGAGUGCUAGAGAGGUUACUAGAAUUCUUGGUGUAGUGGUGAAAUACGUAGAUAUCAAGAGGAAUACCGGUGGCGAAGGCGGGUAACUGGCUAGACACUGACACUCAGACCCGAAAGCGUGGGGAUCAAACAGGAUUAGAUACCCUGGUAGUCCACGCCGUAAACGAUGGAUACUUGUUGUUGGAGGUAUUGACCCCUUCAGUGACGAAGCUAACGCGUUAAGUAUCCCGCCUGGGGAGUACGGUCGCAAGAUUAAAACUCAAAGAAAUUGACGG